AACCAUAGAAACCUGCGGAGUACCUGCGGAAGGAUCAUUACAUUCAGUAGCCUAGCUACUUGUUUACACCCUUGUUUUUUUGCGCACUUCAUUGUAUCCCUCGGCGGGCUUGCUCGCCGGUUGGACAACAUUUAUAACCUUUUUUAAUCUUCAAUCAGCGUCUGAAUUAUAUUUAAUAAUUACAACUUUUAACAAUGGAUCU
RNAcentral lists this unclassified non-coding RNA (202 nucleotides) under soil metagenome. RNAcentral's name for it is "partial contains 5.8S ribosomal RNA, internal transcribed spacer 2, and large subunit ribosomal RNA". The record is from RNAcentral.